RNAcentral lists this long non-coding RNA (812 nucleotides) under Mytilus galloprovincialis (Mediterranean mussel). Lineage: Eukaryota; Metazoa; Mollusca; Bivalvia; Mytilida; Mytilidae. The record is from RNAcentral.
GGGGUGUGGAAAUAUUUGUUGUGAGCACUUGUCCCUGGGCAAGUAAAACUAAAAAUUUAACUUGUCCGGAAAUUUUUUUACUUGCCCUGAUGAUCCCAAUAAAUAUUGAAGUAUUUCUUGUUAGCUAAUAUAUGAUUCUUACUUAGCACUGUUGUGCAUCACACACAAAUGAAAUCCAUUUGUUUAUAUGUGUCCAAAAUUUAGAAAAGUAGGAAAUGGGUUAACAUCAAUGGGACAGAAACCUAACAGCAAACCAACCAAUGAAAUGACAUGUAAAGGACAAUUUUGCAGCAGUUUUGGAAUAACAAUUGUAGCCAGUAGGUACAUAAUAAUUAUAAUUAAUUUGAGGACAGUGAUUGAAGAAAUGUAAACUAAAUAAUAGAUUAACUAUUGAUUUUGUGGUGUUUCUCUCAACUGACACACUUGUUUUUUCUUGAUUAUUUAUUUAUUGUCUUGAUGUGCAAUUAAAGCGUCCCUUCUAUUUGUCAGUUUGACAACACAUAAUGUUGACCUUUCAUCUAUAAAUAAGACAAAAACUUAAUUUAUCAAUCUGAAUCUCGAUACAAAAUUUAAAGAAAUGACACUUCCAGUAAAUGAUUGUUGAAACUUGAUCGACGAUCCCGGGUCAAUGGACAAAGCCAAUGCAAUGUUACGCGACUCUGGUUCCCAUACUUAUUUUUAUUUAUUUUGGUAAUUGAUCGAUUUCCAGUAUCAUGUAAUAUUUAUCGUCAUGAACAUUGAUGUUUUCACUUGCUGAACAUUGGUUUAUUUUACAUGAAUUAAACAUUUUUAUACAUUUUGAAAUUAAUUUU